RNAcentral lists this ribosomal RNA (781 nucleotides) under Clostridioides difficile. RNAcentral's name for it is "bacterial LSU rRNA". It matches the Rfam family "Bacterial large subunit ribosomal RNA", at positions 534 to 1323 of the family's 2925-position model. Lineage: Bacteria; Bacillati; Bacillota; Clostridia; Peptostreptococcales; Peptostreptococcaceae. The record is from RNAcentral.
GGGAGUGAAAUAGAACCUGAAACCCUGCACUUACAAGCUGUGGAAGCACAUUUCUUGUGUGACCGCGUACUUUUUGUAGAACGGGCCAACGAGUUACGUUAAGUAGCAAGGUUAAGCACUUAAGGUGCGGAGCCGUAGCGAAAGCGAGUUUUAACUGAGCGUUCAGUUACUUGACGUAGACCCGAAACCGGGCGAACUACCCAUGAGCAGGAUGAAGCGAAAGUAAAAUUUCGUGGAGGUCCGAACCCACGAGCGUUGAAAAGCUCGGGGAUGACUUGUGGGUAGCGGUGAAAUUCCAAUCGAGCCCGGAGAUAGCUGGUUCUCCCCGAAAUAGCUUUAGGGGUAGCCUCAAGGUGAGAGAUACGGAGGUAGAGCACUGAAUGUCCUAGGGGGUAUUGUACCUACUGAAGACUAUCAAACUCCGAAUGCCGUCAUCUUGUACUUGGGAGUCAGACUGUGGGUGAUAAGAUUCAUAGUCGAAAGGGAAACAGCCCAGAUCGGUAGCUAUGGUCCCUAAAUGUAAGUUAAGUGGUAAAGGAUUUGGGAUUGCACAGACAACCAGGAUGUUGGCUUAGAGGCAGCCAAUAAUUCAAAGAGUGCGUAUAAGCUCACUGGUCGAGUGAUCCUGUGCCGAAGAUGUUCGGGGCUAAAACUUACUACCGAAGCUACGGCUUCAGUAAUGAUGGGUAGGGGAGCUUCCAAUAAGGGUUGAAGCAUGACCGUAAGGACAUGUGGACAGUAUGGGAGUGAGAAUGUUGGCAUGAGUAGCGAGAUGUGGGUG